Molecule: non-coding RNA, 458 nt
Organism: Petromyzon marinus (sea lamprey)
Lineage: Eukaryota; Metazoa; Chordata; Hyperoartia; Petromyzontiformes; Petromyzontidae
Source: RefSeq, a predicted model, not a curated record
UCGAUGGGUUGAGCGGGCACGUCGAUGACCUGGAGAGGCAAGUGUCGGACCUGAUGACCCGGACGAGGCUGGAGGAGUUCGAAUCGCACCGCCGCGAGUGGCCGCUUCGCUGAGGCUCCCUGGCACGAGAAGAGUCAACGUAGAACGCUGCGCAAUGCACGCACGAGAAGUCUGACCUUAGAGCUGCGAUGAUUAGUCGAUGUAUCUCGAUUCACUUGAGUAAUCCAUAAUACACAACGUUUGUAAAUGUUGUAGCUUUGCUCUCCAGCACACCGGUGUUGCUGUACUAGUCAUGAAUUGGCACGUCCUGUUUAUGUGACAAACCUUACUUAUUGGCUGUGUCGGGUGGCGGCGGCGGCGAGUUUAACCCACAAAACCUCGAUUUUUGGAUGACAUUUGGUCGCGAAAGCCUACGACGUGUUCAACUCAAUUGAGUAAAACAAGAAAUGACAAGAGAA